UCCCCCAAUCUCAUUUCAAAUUCCAAAUCCACAGCUCCCUUCGCUUUUCAUUCUCUCUCCGAUUUUGGAUCUGGAUCUGCUAUAUCUUUGCCUUGCGUGGCUUAAUUCCAACAUUCAGUUUCUAAUUCAAGCUCUCAACAACGGGGACAAAUACAUCAACCAACGGCGACACAGUCAGGUUGUUUAAAUUUAGGGUUCCAGCAAAAAAUGGAGAUGGUUACGAGUUCCGGUGGUGAUUGUGUUAAGAUUCUACAGCCAUCAGAGGAGAGGAGGAUGGACCUUCCAACGAAGCUCCGGUGAAGAUUUUGGCAACUCCGGUAAGGAAGUUCUGCCGUGCUUUCCUUCUAUUCAAGGGUUAUAGUAGAGCAAAAGAUCUAGAAAGUGAGGAACUAACUAUUGGAACAACUUCCUUCUUUGCUGUAUCUACUGUAUCACCUUAUCGGAUGCAUGGUGGAUGUUUGGACAAAGGAAAGAGAAGUUGCUGGAUUAAAGGCAGCUUGAGGGAUGUUAGCUUACAUGUAUCUUGGCAAGUCAAAUAACCCGUCAUGUUGGCCAGGUCUGAUUACAUUAUUAUCAUGUAGUUUUAUGCCGAUAGCCACCGGAAAGAACAUGGAAAACCUGAUUUUGAGUCAUUUAAGCAAAAGGUAAUAUCCUUUUAUUAUAAGAUGUUACACUCAUUUUGAAUAACCUGUUCAUUUUGUGCUUAAAGUGAACGCAGCCGCAGCAGUGAAGGGCAUUAAUGAACUGGGUUCCAAAAGGAGUUUCAAGGGCAAUGGUGGACUUGGAGAUGUCGUUUUAUGCAAGAAUAAGUUGGAUGGAAGACAAUAUGAUGUUAAGAAGAUUCAAUUAAAGGGCGGAAGUCAUCCUUUAGAUGAUAAAAUCAAGUAUUUAGUUGGAAUUGCUAACAACCUUGCUUUUCUAGUUCUGUACCCGUUCGGUGGACAGACAUAUUAAUGGUAUAAUGACAUAAGUUAUACCCUGAUUAUGUUUUAACCUGUCUUCUAGUUUUGUUUUGUUUGUUUUAGUAUUUAAAUUUCUAUAACUAGUACUUUUAUUUGGUUGUUUGUAAGAUUAAUGUUUAUUAGUUUAAUUAAGAAUCUUAAUUUGUUUCCA
Helianthus annuus (common sunflower) is the source of this 1113-nucleotide long non-coding RNA. RefSeq lists it as uncharacterized. The transcript has 4 exons. NCBI's taxonomy places the organism in Eukaryota, Viridiplantae, Streptophyta, Magnoliopsida, Asterales, Asteraceae. The record is from RefSeq and is a predicted model, not a curated record.